CGCUACUGCAUCCACUGGCCUGCAAGGUGGAAGGGGAGGAGGAGAAGGGAAGGAGUGACCGGCGGGGCUGGGGGGCAGGAGCAGCACGAGCCGUCGCCCCGUCCCGGGGUGGCAGCGGGAGGGGGAGGGGGAGGGAAGGACGUGGGAGGCACACAUCAAGUCACCGCAGCCGAGGGGGAGGGGGGGUGUCCAAACCCACAGGAACACGGAAUUCCCGGGAGCUGGCACGCGUUUGUUUUCAACGAGAGGGCAGUGUCCGCGCCUCCCGAGGGACAGGAUGAGGAGCUUACCUUUCCAUUUUAUACCUUGGCCCGAAGCAGGGCUCGGGGCUCCCCUAGCUCUACCCUGCCCCGCAGGUCCCGAGCCCACUUUCUCACGAGCGGAGGAGCCGCAGCGCGCGGGCUGCUAACCAGGGCGCAGCUGGGGACGUCGAGGCAGGGUCAGGGACGUCCCUUCCCCCUCCAAGGUCUGCGCCCCUGCCCCCCGGGGUCGAGGCCGCGUAGCCCCGGGCGUGCGUGGGAACCCGUGGGCGCCACACACAGGCUGCGAGCCGGGGCGCGGCUAAUCCAGGGCUCCAAUGGAGACGGGGAAUGGGGCGCGGGAGCCUCUCACCUGUCGGGGCCGCAGCCCCGGGGCCGCCGGCCGGGCCGCGCCGCCCGCCAGAGCCUCGGGCUGGGCCGGAGUUUGGGGAGGGCGGGCCGGGGAGGAAGCCCCGGGCAUUUCCCAGCGCCCCGGAGCCUCCCCGCAGAGCGCCGGCGAUUCCUCCGGCAAGUUCCCGGAAAGGGAGAGCGCAACCUGCCCACCUUGGCCCCCAACCUCCCCGCGCGCGCUCCCGACGGCUCCGACGCUCCGCCUCCUGUGGGCGCCCCUCCCCAGGCCGGCUCAGGCCCCUCCUCGGAGGGCUCGGACCCGGGGGAGGCGGAGGCGCCCCUGCGCCUCGGCGGGGGGGGGCGGCGAGGUUGGGACGGGGUCGACGACUACUUCCGCCGGGACCCUUUUCCUCAAGAUGGCGGCGGUGGCGCCGAGGGGAUCGGGCUCUAUGACCCUCCUUGCGGCCCCGAAAGAACCCUCUCCCACUCUGCGCUAGCCCCGCCCCCUGCCGCAGCUGUCACUGCCAAGGGUCAGCCUGGAAGACUCCCUAUGGUCCCCGGACCGGGAAAAGGCGGCUGGCCGGGCGGGCGGUCCAAGGCUGAAUGGCCAUCAGCACGCAUGGGGCUUUAA
RNAcentral lists this long non-coding RNA (1221 nucleotides) under Phascolarctos cinereus (koala). RNAcentral's name for it is "lncRNA (ENSPCIG00000034626.1)". The record is from RNAcentral. Lineage: Eukaryota; Metazoa; Chordata; Mammalia; Diprotodontia; Phascolarctidae.